Molecule: transfer RNA, 72 nt
Filed under: Stegodyphus mimosarum
Lineage: Eukaryota; Metazoa; Arthropoda; Arachnida; Araneae; Eresidae
Rfam family: tRNA
About the family: Transfer RNA (tRNA) molecules are approximately 80 nucleotides in length. Their secondary structure includes four short double-helical elements and three loops (D, anti-codon, and T loops).
Source: Rfam by way of RNAcentral
GCCUUCGUGGUGUAGUGGUCAACACGUUCGACACGUAUUCGAGAGGGCGUGGUUCGACUCCCGGCGAGAGCA